UCCAGGUUGGUCCAGGUGUCUAUAGGUCCUGAUAUAAUGCUGUGUUCUCUCCAGGUUGGUACAGGUGUCUAUAGGUCCUGAUAUAAUGCUGUGUUCUCUCCAGGUUGGUCCAGGUGUCUAUAGGUCCUGAUAUAAUGUUGUGUUCUCUCCAGGUUGGUCCAGGUGUCUAUAGGUCCUGAUAUAAUGCUGUGUUCUCUCCAGGUUGGUCCAGGUGUCUAUAGGUCCUGAUAUAAUGCUGUGUUCUCUCCAGGUUGGUCCAGGUGUCUAUAGGUCCUGAUAUAAUGCUGUGUUCUCUCCAGGUUGGUUCAGGUGUCUAUAGGUCCUGAUAUAAUGCUGUGUUCUCUCCAGGUUGGUCCAGGUGUCUAUAGGUCCUGAUAUAAUGCUGUGUUCUCUCCAGGUUGGUCCAGGUGUCUAUAGGUCCUGAUAUAAUACUGUGUUCUCUCCAGGUUGGUCCAGGUGUCUAUAGGUCCUGAUAUAAUACUGUGUUCUCUCCAGGUUGGUCCAGGUGUCUAUAGGUCCUGAUAUAAUGUUGUGUUCUCUCCAGGUUGGUCCAGGUGUCUAUAGGUCCUGAUAUAAUGCUGUGUUCUCUCCAGGUUGGUCCAGGUGUCUAUAGGUCCUGAUAUAAUGUUGUGUUCUCUCCAGGUUGGUCCAGGUGUCUAUAGGUCCUGAUAUAAUGCUGUGUUCUCUCCAG
RNAcentral lists this long non-coding RNA (691 nucleotides) under Salmo salar (Atlantic salmon). RNAcentral's name for it is "lncRNA (ENSSSAG00000117836.1)". Lineage: Eukaryota; Metazoa; Chordata; Actinopteri; Salmoniformes; Salmonidae. The record is from RNAcentral.